This 253-nucleotide ribosomal RNA is filed under the name uncultured bacterium. Its description in RNAcentral is "partial 16S ribosomal RNA". It matches the Rfam family "Bacterial small subunit ribosomal RNA", at positions 524 to 776 of the family's 1533-position model. The record is from RNAcentral.
UACGAAGGGGGCUAGCGUUGCUCGGAAUCACUGGGCGUAAAGCGCACGUAGGCGGCUUGUUAAGUCCGGGGUGAAAUCCUGGAGCUCAACUCCAGAACUGCCUUUGAUACUGGCGAGCUUGAGUUCGGGAGAGGUGAGUGGAACUGCGAGUGUAGAGGUGAAAUUCGUAGAUAUUCGCAAGAACACCAGUGGCGAAGGCGGCUCACUGGCCCGAUACUGACGCUGAGGUGCGAAAGCGUGGGGAGCAAACAGG